AUUUCAAACCCCGAUCGAAUCAGGAUCAAAUUUCUCUUGUAAUCAGGAUUGAUCAUAUCAAACCUAAUCUGAGUCGAACUGGAUCUAAUUCAAUUAGACUUGAUCCAAAGCUCUUUACUCAAUCAAAUUGAGUCAAUUACUAAUUAAUUCUCUAUUGAUAGUAGAUUCUCAGUCCCAGUGGGACUCUCGUCUAGAGUCUCAGUCCU
RNAcentral lists this long non-coding RNA (206 nucleotides) under Elaeis guineensis (African oil palm). RNAcentral describes it as "long non-coding RNA (EGUI_LNC080180)". The record is from RNAcentral. Lineage: Eukaryota; Viridiplantae; Streptophyta; Magnoliopsida; Arecales; Arecaceae.